CUCACUAGUCGAGUGACACUGCGCCGAAAAUGUACCGGGGCUAAACAUAUUACCGAAGCUGUGGAUUGUCCUUUGGACAAUGGUAGGAGAGCGUUCUAAGGGCGUUGAAGCAUGAUCGCAAGGACAUGUGGAGCGCUUAGAAGUGAGAAUGCCGGUGUGAGUAGCGAAAGACGGGUGAGAAUCCCGUCCACCGAUUGACUAAGGUUUCCAGAGGAAGGCUCGUCCGCUCUGGGUUAGUCGGGUCCUAAGCUGAGGCCGACAGGCGUAGGCGAUGGAUAACAGGUUGAUAUUCCUGUACCACCUAUAAUCGUUUUAAUCGAUGGGGGGACGCAGUAGGAUAGGCGAAGCGUACGAUUGGAUUGUACGUCUAAGCAGUGAGAUUGAGUGUUAGGCAAAUCCGGCACUCUUAAGAUUGAGCUGUGAUGGGGAGAGGAAAUUGUUUCCUCGAGUCGUUGAUUUCACACUGCCGAGAAAAGCCUCUAGAUAGAGAUUAGGUGCCCGUACCGCAAACCGACACAGGUAGU
RNAcentral lists this ribosomal RNA (524 nucleotides) under Escherichia coli. Its description in RNAcentral is "partial 23S ribosomal RNA". It matches the Rfam family "Bacterial large subunit ribosomal RNA", at positions 1141 to 1667 of the family's 2925-position model. The record is from RNAcentral. Lineage: Bacteria; Pseudomonadati; Pseudomonadota; Gammaproteobacteria; Enterobacterales; Enterobacteriaceae.